AUUGAACGCUGGCGGCAGGCCUAACACAUGCAAGUCGAGCGGAGCGGCGGACGCGUGAGUAAUGCCUGGGAAUCUGCCUGAUAGUGGGGGAUAACGUCCGGCAACGGGAGCUAAUACCGCAUACUAUCAGAUGAGCCUAGGUAGGAUUAGCUAGUUGGUGGGGUAAAGGCCUACCAAGGCGACGAUCCGUAACUGGUCUGAGAGGAUGAUCAGUCACCAGGGAACUGAGAAACGGUCCAGAAUCCUACGGGAGGCAGCAGUGGGUAAUAUUGGACAAUGGGGGAAGGCCUGAUCCAACCAUGCCGCGUGUGUGAAGAAGGACUUCGGAGUGUAAAGCACUUUAAGUUGGGAGGCGUUACCAGCAGAAUAAGCACCGGCUAACUUCGUUCCAGACGCCGCGGUAAUAC
Molecule: ribosomal RNA, 407 nt
Filed under: uncultured bacterium
Lineage: Bacteria
Description: partial 16S ribosomal RNA
Rfam family: Bacterial small subunit ribosomal RNA
Source: RNAcentral